CCUGAAACAUUGGUUUAUAGGGUUUUCCUCUUCCCCAUCUGAGAGAGAGACCUCAAGCGCGCCGCACGUACCCUGGAAGACUCUGCUGCGAUCUUUCCGUGCACCAGAUCAGAUGGAUUCAGUUGCAGUUGACCAAUCAUCCGUUAAGAAACAGAAGAAGCAUAAGGAAGGCCUAUCAGGCUACUUCUUUUGCAAGGGUGAAGGUCAUAUGAAGGAGGAUUGUACUGAGUAUCACGCAUGGCAUGAAAUGGAGGGUACACUUCUCACUUUGGUUUGUUUUGAGGUUAAUUUAACUUCAGUACCCAGAAACACUUCGUGGGUAGAUUCGGUGUUACUACUCACAUAGUGUCUAUGCAAGGCUGCCUAAAUUGUCGAACGCCAAAUGAUGCUGAAAGAUUCAUCUAUGUGGGCGAUGACAAGAAGGUGAAGGUUGAAGCCAUAGCAGAUUUUUUGUUAUUGUUAAAGACUUGUUGUUAUUUGAAUUUGACAGAAACUUAUGUGGUACCGUCUUUUAGAUGGAAUUUGGUUCCUAUUUCCUCAUUGAACAAGUUUGGUUAUUAUUGUUCAUUUGAAGGAAGUAAAUUUAAGUUGUUUUUGCACUUAAA
Molecule: long non-coding RNA, 605 nt
Organism: Nymphaea colorata (pocket water lily)
Lineage: Eukaryota; Viridiplantae; Streptophyta; Magnoliopsida; Nymphaeales; Nymphaeaceae
Exons: 2
Source: RefSeq, a predicted model, not a curated record